Molecule: ribosomal RNA, 253 nt
Filed under: uncultured bacterium
Lineage: Bacteria
Description: partial 16S ribosomal RNA
Rfam family: Bacterial small subunit ribosomal RNA
Source: RNAcentral
UACGAAGGGGGCUAGCGUUGCUCGGAAUCACUGGGCGUAAAGGGCGCGUAGGCGGCUUAUCAAGUCGGGGGUGAAAGCCCGUGGCUCAACCACGGAAUGGCCUUCGAUACUGGUAGGCUUGAGACCGGAAGAGGACAGCGGAACUGCGAGUGUAGAGGUGAAAUUCGUAGAUAUUCGCAAGAACACCAGUGGCGAAGGCGGCUGUCUGGUCCGGUUCUGACGCUGAGGCGCGAAAGCAUGGGGAGCAAACAGG